RNAcentral lists this transfer RNA (63 nucleotides) under Ligia oceanica (common sea slater). RNAcentral describes it as "tRNA-Lys". Lineage: Eukaryota; Metazoa; Arthropoda; Malacostraca; Isopoda; Ligiidae. The record is from RNAcentral.
AGCUUAGUGGCCGAGAGAGUAGGCGAGAGGGUUUUAACCUCUUUACGGAGAAUCCCUGAGUUA